GAGGAUAUAGCUCAGUGGUAGAGCACAUGCUUAGCAUGCAUGAGGUCCUGGGUUCAAUACCCAGUGCCUCCA
Molecule: transfer RNA, 72 nt
Filed under: Camelus bactrianus (Bactrian camel)
Lineage: Eukaryota; Metazoa; Chordata; Mammalia; Artiodactyla; Camelidae
Also listed under: 2 other names
Rfam family: tRNA
About the family: Transfer RNA (tRNA) molecules are approximately 80 nucleotides in length. Their secondary structure includes four short double-helical elements and three loops (D, anti-codon, and T loops).
Source: Rfam by way of RNAcentral